Molecule: long non-coding RNA, 3033 nt
Organism: Monodelphis domestica (gray short-tailed opossum)
Lineage: Eukaryota; Metazoa; Chordata; Mammalia; Didelphimorphia; Didelphidae
Source: RefSeq, a predicted model, not a curated record
UCAGGCCAAUUACAACCACCUAAAAAAAAAAAAAAACCUCACUUAUAUACCAUUUUCUUUCCAAAACCAUCUGGAUCAAAUAGGAAAAGAAUUCUAAUACUCAUCUUAUAGAUGAAGAAACUGAUUCUUAGGGAGAUUUGGCUAUAUAAUGAAUUAUUGGCAGAUUUAAGAAUUUGAAACUAGGGCACUUGAUUUUAAAUUUAAUGCUUUUUAUUUGGACAUUUGCUAGCUGCAUCUUUCCCCCUUUUCAAACCUUUUUGCCCUCUGAACCCCAAAGAAAUAAUGCUUAUCAAGGAUCAAAUACUUAGAUGGAUCAUUUUGGGUCUGGGUCUGGGGUCAGUGAAGAUGGCAACCCCUGUCCAACCAACAACUACCCCCACCCUUCCAACAUAGAGAAGUACUGGAAAAUGGCAAUGCAGUUCAUUGACAGAGGGCUAGUGAAAGAGAUUCACUGAUUAAAAAAAAAACAUUUAGGAUCAUCAAACAUGUGCACAUUGCUGCUGACUUUAUUUUCAAGAAGCCUGUAAUCUGAUGGAAGUGGUGGUGGUGGUGGUGGUGGGGAAUACAUGGAUGCAGAUAAAAAGGAAAGAAGGGAAUAAAAUAAUUGCAAAGGAUUGAGUCCAAGAUAAGUAAAUAUCAUGAUAAAUUGAAGGAGAAAUAGCCCACUUUCCUUUUGGAGGACAUGGAGAAGGGGAGAAGAUAACAUCUGAGUUGGGCCUGGAAAGAACUAUGACCUUCAACAAAUGGAUAAAGAGACUGAGAAGUUCAUUCUAAACAUGGGGGUGGGGUGGGGGGCAGGUUCGACAAAGACACGGGGACUAGAAGGAUCAGGACAGUAUAAUAUGGCCAGAGAACAAUAUAGUUUGACUGUAAUAUCAAAGGAAGCAGCACAACAUAAGAGACUACAGAGGUAGGUUGUAACUACGUUAUGGAUGUACAUUAUGCAAUGACUAAGAGUUUAUAAUUUAUUUAAUAGGUAAUAGAGUCAUGAAAAGUUCUGGUAUAGAGUGGUCUUAGCCCUAAGGAAGAUUAUUCAACAGCAAUAUGAUAUAAUAAUUUUAAGAGGGAGUCAACUGGAGGAUCCAAAGUUAGAAGCCUAGGUGACCUGGGUGGGUGAUGAUGCCAUCAAAAAAAUUAGAGAUGGGGCAGCUAGAUGGCUCAGUGGGUAGGCCCAGAGACAGGAGAUCCUGGAUUCAAAUGUGACCUCAGACACUUCCUAGCUGUGUGAAUCUGGGCAAGUCAUUUAAUCCCAACUGCCUAGUCCUUACUGCUCUUCUGCCUUGGAACCAAUACACAGUCAUUGAUUCUAAGGUCAAAGGUAAGGGUUAAAAAUAAAAGAAAAUAGAGACAUUUGAGAUUUGUCACCAAAGAAAUAGCACGGAGAAAUGGGCAGUCAAGUAAAUGCAUAUUAGCAGUUUCUGGAGGCAGGAAGAAAAUCCCAUUGUUCCAGGUAGGACUUGCUGAAAGAAUCUACCAUACUGUGGCAAUCUGUAAGGAGAAGAACCCAGAACUGGAAGUUUUAUCUAGCUCACAACAAGAUGUUAGGAAAGUAAAAGCACAGGUGGGACUGAAGGGAAGGACAUAGUAAUUGGAAGGGACUCCAAUAUAAAUCAGUAGGUAAGGAGAGCCCUAGAACUGUAGCAGAAAUAUCUUCCAUGCCAGUUUUUGAAAUCUAAGGGACCUGCUUUAAUACUUCCCAAUAAAGACUGGGAGAAACUCCCAAGGCAUAUUUGCCAGAUGGUCAUUCUUCCCCCUUUUCAUUAUACCUCCAUAGAAUUUAUAUUUGCCAGAUGGUGGUGUAGGUUCUUGUUGCUUUCUCAUUCCUUCCUAAUAAAACCCUCACUUGUAGAGAAGGUACUCCCCAGUCCUUUCCUUUUGUAUCCUGGGAAUAUGGGCAGAACCCUAGGGAAUAAAAUGGGUUUCAAGUGUGUCCAAAGGGAAAGGAUUCACAUAAGAAUCUCCUUCUCCCCCCUCAACUCCUUAGCUCCUUCUCAGCUGCAGGACAACCUCCAGACUCAUUCUAGCACUGGCCAGUUGUUUGCAGACAGCACACAAAGGAAAUAGCCACACCCUCUUGCUGCGAUCCUUCCCAAAUCUCUCUGCUGCAUCCUGUGGCUCCUGUAAAGCCUAAACCUAAGGAGAAGGCUUUGGAACUGGAAGUGGGUGGGAGGGAGACGCGGGGGAGGAAGAUAAAAGCGGGAAGCGGAGGGGUUGCGGCUGACCCGGCCUCUCCGACCAAAGCGUUUCUCCUUCCCCCACUGGAACAAUAGCUGUCUCCUCCCCAGACUAGAAGCACAAAGGGCCCGUCUCUGCAGCUAUGAGCCGGGGUUGGUCGGCUGGCUACCUACGUGACUCCACGUUCAUUAGCAUCUAUUUGUGACCAUGAAAUAUCGAUAUAUAUGCUAUGUCUGUGUGAUAUGUAAAGCUUGGGGGAGGGGUGGUAGGUGGAUGUUACUAAAUCGACCUGAAAUCUUUCCUCAAAGACAAACGGUGAGUAAAUCACCCUACUGGCUGAAGCAUCCUCCCUCUUCUCAGCGAGAAGCCGGAUUAAGGACCAGGUGGUUCCUCCUACUUGAGAGCAAGUCUGGGCCAGCUGGGAACCGACCAGAAACCACAAGCAGAGGAGACAGAGCUAACGGCAGGGAUGGGAGAGAAAUUCAAACCUCUUCUCUGUAGCGAGAGGAAUGUAAAAAGGGACCUAUUUGGGUAACCACAAAUAGCAACCGCACCAUCUUUUCAGCCACAUUACAUCUCCAUCACACCACCUAUGCCAAACACUGUCACCCAAGGAACACCCACAGAGAGACCCUGCCAAACCCCAGCUAUACGAUCACAACCCUCUCCUCUACACCUCCAGAUCCAUUCUUUCCACUCCUCGUCAUACCUCGAUAGGACAUUGACAUACAGAGACAAAUAGACGCACAAACAGACUGGCUCUACUUUAUCUCUGAACACCUAGCUCUUCUCUUCCCUUAGUCAUCAACAAAGAAGUCUCUGCAAAGAAUAUAUAAAGGAAAAGUCAAAAUCAAAGAA